GUUCAUCUUAAUUCCCAUAAGAACGUCAUAAUUGUAGCGAAGAAGGCAAGCUUUUCUAGCUAAUUAAUUCAAAGGGGGGAAGAAGAAAAAGACUAAUGAGUUGAAUCUUUUGUACUAUUUUUCUUCUGGUGGGGCUUUCAUGUCUGUGAAAUCUAUGUCGUGAACUCAAGCAUUCACAUGUAGAAAUUUGUUAUAUAAUUGAGAUGAUCUAAGGCCCUGGUAGAACUGCAAAAUUUUCAGUUCCACACGCCUGUCAAUGUUUAGAGCACAAACUUCUAAGUACUAAAGGCAUAAGGAACAUUGCCUGAGUUGUUCAAUCACAUAAAGCACG
This 331-nucleotide unclassified non-coding RNA is filed under the name Hevea brasiliensis (rubber tree). The record is from RNAcentral. Lineage: Eukaryota; Viridiplantae; Streptophyta; Magnoliopsida; Malpighiales; Euphorbiaceae.